GCAGGAGGGGCACUUGGCCCUGUCUGGGAGGCUUCUUUGAAAAGAGAGAAUGUUUGUGCUGAAUCUAAAAUAUGAGUAGGAGACCAGGUAGCCUUGUGAGGUGGACCAGGGAAAUAUUCCUGACAAAGUGAAUAGCAUGAGCGAACACAGGCAUGCUGACAUGCUAAGCUACAGCUGUGGCCUGGGCUUUUGGAAGUAGUUGUAAGCAUAGGAGAAUCUUGAGGUUUUGAGGUUCAGAGUAGAAGGCAGGGUCACAGGGCAGAACUCUCCCAAUGAGGGACUCCCAUCUCAGCCCUCCAGAUCCUUCUGUUCUCCCUAGAUUGUCUACAACCUGUUGUCUCUGCGCUUCAACUCACGGAUCCGUGUGAAGACCUACACAGAUGAGCUGACGCCCAUUGAGUCUGCUGUCUCUGUGUUCAAGGCAGCCAACUGGUAUGAAAGGGAGAUCUGGGACAUGUUUGGAGUCUUCUUUGCUAACCACCCUGAUCUAAGAAGGAUCCUGACAGAUUAUGGCUUCGAGGGACAUCCUUUCCGGAAAGACUUUCCUCUAUCUGGCUAUGUUGAGUUACGUUAUGAUGAUGAAGUGAAGCGGGUGGUGGCAGAGCCGGUGGAGUUGGCCCAAGAGUUCCGCAAAUUUGACCUGAACAGCCCCUGGGAGGCUUUCCCAGUCUAUCGCCAACCCCCGGAGAGUCUCAAGCUUGAAGCCGGAGACAAGAAGCCUGAAGCCAAGUAGCUCCAGGGAAGGCAUGUGGAUCCUAGACAGCGCCUUAUCUAUGAUU
This 779-nucleotide small RNA is filed under the name Pan troglodytes (chimpanzee). RNAcentral describes it as "retained intron". The record is from RNAcentral. Lineage: Eukaryota; Metazoa; Chordata; Mammalia; Primates; Hominidae.